UCUCCAUGGAUGAUAGUUUCAACCUCGGAAGCUUUGCGGGAAUGGCCUUGAUGUUUGGAGGACUCUACUUCGUUCUCUGGGCUAAAGGGAAAGAGGAGUGUGGAGAAGGAGAUGAAGUAAAAGAAGAUGAAGAAGAAAGUGUUAGAACAGAGUUUGACCUUGAGAAGCCUCUCUUGCGUUAAAGUCUUGUUUUCUUAAUGUUCAUGUUAGUUUGGUUAUGUUUGAAGAAGUAAGAUCAGUUUUACUUUAUAGAAUAGAAUUAUGUAUUUAUUUUAGAUAUACAACAGAACUAUCACUUUACUUAUAUAUUUGUCAUGUAAUAUGGGUUGAACA
Long non-coding RNA from Brassica napus (rape), 333 nucleotides. RefSeq lists it as uncharacterized. The record is from RefSeq and is a predicted model, not a curated record. The transcript is spliced from 2 exons. NCBI's taxonomy places the organism in Eukaryota, Viridiplantae, Streptophyta, Magnoliopsida, Brassicales, Brassicaceae.